RNAcentral lists this ribosomal RNA (292 nucleotides) under uncultured bacterium. Its description in RNAcentral is "partial 16S ribosomal RNA". It matches the Rfam family "Bacterial small subunit ribosomal RNA", at positions 505 to 796 of the family's 1533-position model. The record is from RNAcentral.
GUGCCAGCCGCCGCGGUAAUACGAAGGGGGCAAGCGUUGUUCGGAAUUACUGGGCGUAAAGGGCGCGUAGGCGGCCGCUCAAGUCAGGUGUGAAAUCCCCGGGCUCAACCUGGGAACUGCACUUGAAACUGUGUGGCUUGAAUCCGUGAGAGGUUGGUGGAAUUCCCAGUGUAGAGGUGAAAUUCGUAGAUAUUGGGAAGAACACCGGUGGCGAAGGCGGCCAACUGGCACGGUAUUGACGCUGAGGCGCGAAAGCGUGGGGAGCAAACAGGAUUAGAAACCCCCGUAGUCC